GCCGGGGUACCCGAGCGGUCUAAGGGGCCGGCCUGGAGAGCCGGUGCCCCGAUAAGGGGCGCGCGGGUUCGAAUCCCGCCCCCGGCGCCA
This 90-nucleotide transfer RNA is filed under the name Desulfurococcales archaeon ex4484_204. Its description in RNAcentral is "tRNA-Ser". It matches the Rfam family "tRNA". From Rfam's summary of the family: Transfer RNA (tRNA) molecules are approximately 80 nucleotides in length. RNAcentral also lists the same sequence under 1 other name. The record is from RNAcentral. Lineage: Archaea; Thermoproteati; Thermoproteota; Thermoprotei; Desulfurococcales.